ACACACACACACUGUACACACACAUUCACACUGGACACACACAUACACUGGAUCCCAGGUUCUAGAACAGCUUCUAUCCCAGUUCUAUCUGUCUGUUAAAUCAGUUUCUGGAACACAGGUUCUAGAACAGCUUCUAUCCCAGUUCUAUCUGCCUGUUAAAUCAGUUUCUGGACCACAGGUUCUAGAACAGCUUCUAUCCCAGUUCUAUCUGCCUGUUAAAUUAGUUUCUGGACCACAGGUUCUAGAACAGCUUCUAUCCCAGUUCUAUCUGCCUGUUAAAUCAGUUUCUGGACCACAGGUUCUAGAACAGCUUCUAUCCCAGUUCUAUCUGCCUGUUAAAUCAUCAACCUAAAUGGUUUUCAUCAGACUAUUAGAACAUAACUGAACUUUUUGGUUCCUUUUCUCAUCUUUUACAACUUUGCAUUUUUUAUGAUAUAUUUUACUGUUUGUGUUUGUACCCCAGGAGGUUGGUGGGACCUUAAUUGGGGAGGACAGGCUUGUAAUGGCUGGAGGGGAAUAAGUGGAAUGGUAUCAAACACGUGGUUUCCAUGUGUCCCAUUUCAUUCACUCUGUUCCAGACAUUAUUAUGAGCCGUCCUCCCCUCACCAGCCUCCUCUGGUAUGUACUGUCCUAUAUGUGAGAAAGAUCCAACAAGGAAUUAAAUGUAUGUAUUACUUUUAAUACCUGCAAAUGGCAAAUAAACUACUAGAACUCCU
This is a long non-coding RNA of Oncorhynchus kisutch (coho salmon), 716 nucleotides long. RefSeq lists it as uncharacterized. Lineage: Eukaryota; Metazoa; Chordata; Actinopteri; Salmoniformes; Salmonidae. The record is from RefSeq and is a predicted model, not a curated record. The transcript has 2 exons.